GGGGUUGUGGCUCAGUGGUAGAGCACUUGCCUAGUGUGUGUGAGGCCCUGGGUUCAAUCCCAGCACUCG
RNAcentral lists this transfer RNA (69 nucleotides) under Ictidomys tridecemlineatus (thirteen-lined ground squirrel). RNAcentral's name for it is "Spermophilus tridecemlineatus (thirteen-lined ground squirrel) tRNA". It matches the Rfam family "tRNA". From Rfam's summary of the family: Transfer RNA (tRNA) molecules are approximately 80 nucleotides in length. Their secondary structure includes four short double-helical elements and three loops (D, anti-codon, and T loops). Further hydrogen bonds mediate the characteristic L-shaped molecular structure. tRNAs have two regions of fundamental functional importance: the anti-codon, which is responsible for specific mRNA codon recognition, and the 3' end, to which the tRNAs corresponding amino acid is attached (by aminoacyl-tRNA synthetases). tRNAs cope with the degeneracy of the genetic code in two manners: having more than one tRNA (with a specific anti-codon) for a particular amino acid; and 'wobble' base-pairing, i.e. permitting non-standard base-pairing at the 3rd anti-codon position. Lineage: Eukaryota; Metazoa; Chordata; Mammalia; Rodentia; Sciuridae. The record is from Rfam by way of RNAcentral.